UAACGGCGAGUGAAGCGGCAAAAGCUCAAAUUUGAAAUCUGGCUCCUUCGGGGUCCGAGUUGUAAUUUGGAGAGGAUGCUCUGGGGGUGGUCGCGGUCUAAGUCCCCUGGAACGGGGCGUCGCAGAGGGUGAGAAUCCCGUCUUCGGCCGGCCGACCAUGCCCGUGUAGAGCUCCUUCGACGAGUCGAGUUGUUUGGGAAUGCAGCUCUAAAUGGGUGGUAAAUUUCAUCUAAAGCUAAAUACUGGUCGGAGACCGAUAGCGCACAAGUAGAGUGAUCGAAAGAUGAAAAGCACUUUGAAAAGAGAGUUAAACAGCAUGUGAAAUUGUUGAAAGGGAAGCACAAGCGACCAGAGUCGGCCGCGGGGGUUCAGCAGGGGUCCUCCCCUGUGUAUUCCCCCGUGGUCGGGCCAGCAUCAGUUCUGGCGGCCGGUCAAAGGCUCCGGGAAUGUGUCGCCCUUCGGGACGACUUAUAGCCCGGGGUGCAAUGCGGCCAGCCGGGACUGAGGAACGCGCUUCGGCACGGAUGCUGGCUUAAUGGCCGUUUGUGGCCCGUCUUGAAACACGGACCAAGGAGUCUAACAUCCACGCGAGUGUUCGGGUGUCAAACCCGUCCGCGCAGUGAAAGCGAACGGAGGUGAGAGCCCCUCGAGGGUGCAUCAUCGACCGAUCCUGAAGUCUUCGGAUGGAUUUGAGUAUGAGCGUGGCUGUUGGGACCCGAAAGAUGGGGAACUAUGCCUGAAUAGGGUGAAGCCAGAGGAAACUCUGGUGGAGGCUCGCAGCGGUUCUGACGUGCAAAUCGAUCGUCAAAUUUGGGUAUAGGGGCGAAAGACUAAUCUAACCAUCUGGUAGCUGGUUCCUGCCGAAGUUUCCCUCAGGAUAGCAGUAACGUUUUCAGUUUUAUGAGGUAAAGCGAAUGAUUAUAGGCCUUGGGGUUGAAACAACCUUAACCUAUUCUCAAACUUUAAAUAUGUAAGAAGUCCUUGUUACUUAAUUGAACGUGGACAAUUGAAUGGAUCGUUACUAGUGGGCCAUUUUUGGUAAGCAGAUCUGGCGAUGCGGGAUGAACCGAACGCGAGGUUAAGGUGCCGGAAUGCACGCUCAUCAGACACCACAAAAGGUGUUAGUUCAUCUAGACAGCCCGACGGUGGCCAUGGAAGUCGGAAUCCGCUAAGGAGUGUGUAACAACUCACGGGCCGAAUGAACUAGCCCUGAAAAUGGA
Molecule: ribosomal RNA, 1220 nt
Filed under: Ascosphaera atra
Lineage: Eukaryota; Fungi; Ascomycota; Eurotiomycetes; Onygenales; Ascosphaeraceae
Description: eukaryotic LSU rRNA
Rfam family: Eukaryotic large subunit ribosomal RNA
Source: RNAcentral